CCUACGGGAGGCAGCAGUGAGGAAUAUUGGUCAAUGGGCGCUAGCCUGAACCAGCCAAGUAGCGUGAAGGAUGACUGCCCUAUGGGUUGUAACCUUCUUUUAUAUGGGACUAAAGUGCAGUAUAUAUACUGCUUUGCAUGUACCUUAUGAAUACGCAUCGGCUAACUCCGUUCCAGCAGCCGCGGUAAUACGGAGGAUCCGCGCGUUAUCCGGAUUUAUUGGGGUUAAGGGGCGCGUAGGCGGGGUGUUAAGUCAGUUGUGAAAGUUUCCGGCUCAACCGUAAAAUUGCAGUUGAUACUGGCAUCCUUGAGUACAGGAGAGGUAGGCGGAAUUCGUGGUGUAGCGGUGAAAUGCUUAGAUAUCACGAAGAACUCCGAUUGCGAAGGCAGCCUGCUGGACUGUAACUGACGCUGAUGCUCGAAAGUGUGGGUAUCAAACAGGAUUAGAUACCCGGGUAGUC
This 460-nucleotide ribosomal RNA is filed under the name uncultured bacterium. Its description in RNAcentral is "partial 16S ribosomal RNA". It matches the Rfam family "Bacterial small subunit ribosomal RNA", at positions 338 to 795 of the family's 1533-position model. The record is from RNAcentral.